Long non-coding RNA from Pistacia vera, 316 nucleotides. RefSeq lists it as uncharacterized. The transcript has 3 exons. Lineage: Eukaryota; Viridiplantae; Streptophyta; Magnoliopsida; Sapindales; Anacardiaceae. The record is from RefSeq and is a predicted model, not a curated record.
AGGCUGCUGUAUAUGGUAGAGAUCCAAAUUGGGGACGCAUUGCAUGUGCUGCAGGAUAUGCUGGGAUUUCUUUUGACCAAAAUAAGCUGCGGAUAUUGCUUGGGGAUAUUUUACUCAUGGAGGGUGGGCAACCGCUUCCAUUUGACAGGGCUGCGGCUAGCAACUAUCUCAAGAAGGCUGGCGAGACCCAUGGUACAGUAACAAUCCAAAUAUCUGUCGGUGAUGGACCUGGAAACGGACAAGCGUGGGGCUGUGACCUAAGUUAUGAUUAUGUCAAAAUAAAUGCAGAAUACACGACAUAGAAGACCUUUUUUUU